Molecule: unclassified non-coding RNA, 209 nt
Filed under: Hevea brasiliensis (rubber tree)
Lineage: Eukaryota; Viridiplantae; Streptophyta; Magnoliopsida; Malpighiales; Euphorbiaceae
Source: RNAcentral
GCCUACUUGGACCACGCAGCAGCAACUUUGUAUUCCGAGCUACAAAUGGAGGCGAUCUUCAAAGAUCUCACUUCUAAUAUAUAUGGAAAUCCUCAUAGCCAAAGUGAUUCUAGCUUUGCCACUUCUGACAUUGUAAGGAAUGCCCGUCAACAGGUCCUUGACUAUUUCAAAGCAUCUCCUAAAGACUACAAAUGCAUAUUUACUUCUGG